RNAcentral lists this non-coding RNA (109 nucleotides) under Kurthia sp. 11kri321. RNAcentral describes it as "SAM riboswitch aptamer (S box leader)". It matches the Rfam family "SAM riboswitch aptamer (S box leader)". From Rfam's summary of the family: The SAM riboswitch is found upstream of a number of genes which code for proteins involved in methionine or cysteine biosynthesis in Gram-positive bacteria. Lineage: Bacteria; Bacillati; Bacillota; Bacilli; Caryophanales; Caryophanaceae. The record is from Rfam by way of RNAcentral. RNAcentral also lists the same sequence under 1 other name.
UUCUUAUCAAGAGAAGCCGAGGGACUGGCCCGACGACGCUUCAGCAACCAGCCAUUUAGAUGGUCAGGUGCUAAUUCCAGAAGGACUUAUGGUUCUUAAAAGAUAAGAA